CCUUCCUAAAAACUAUAUUCCAAUCUCUCCAUUUCAAGUGUUCAUUUUUAUCUGGUAACAUUCACCAUACACUCACACACACCUAAGCUAUAGUCCAAUCUCUCCAUUUCGAGUAUUCAUUUUUAUCUGGUAACAUUCACCAUACACUCACACACACCUAAGCUAUAGUCCAAUCUCUCCAUUUCGAGUAUUCAUUUUUAUCUGGUAACAUUCAUCAUACUCUCACACACACCUAAGCAUUCCCUCAUCACUCAAAUUUCCCUUCCCUAAAACUAUAUUCCAAUCUCUCCAUUUCGAGUGUUCAUUUUUAUCUGGUAACACACACACACACACUCACCAUGGGCCAAGUGUUCGUCAGACGCUCUACGGCCGUGCUCCUGUGCCUGGUCGGGUCACUCUGCGUGGUCUGCGUGGCCCUCCUAGUCCUCCUCUUAGCCCCGGAUUGGCGGCUGACAGGGGGCCAAACCUCAGCCAUGACCUACGAUUCCAACCCCGCUGAAUCCACACUACGCAAGAUCGAAGCAUAUGACCUUGCACCUUCAGCCAAUCCUACAACAACUACCAUGCCCUCUACAGCAAAGGAACCCUGGGAGAAGGAGUACAGGAUCCCCACCACGACCCUCCCCCACCACUAUGACCUGUAUCUCCACCCUGACCUCGAUUCUGGGGACUUCAGCGGUCGGGUCACCAUCCGCAUCGGCGUGACUUCACCUAUGAAUUACUUGUUGGCGCACGUGAAGAAGCUCAACGUAACCUUCACCUCGCUGCAGAAGGAGGGUGAGAGAGGGCGGGAGGAGGUGGAGGUGGAGAGGGCGUUUGAGUACGAGCCCAAUCAGUUCUGGGUUGUCGCCCCUCGCCGCGCCCUCCACCCCGGUAACUACUCCCUGACGCUCCACUUCUCCGGCACCCUCACUGGCUCCAUCGUGGGAUUCUACAGGAGCGUUUACACCACAGCGGCCGGAGAGAAGAGGUCCAUCGCCACCAGCAAGUUCCAGCCCACAGACGCCCGCAGUGCCUUCCCGUGCUUCGAUGAGCCUUCCUUCAAGAGCACUUUCACCACUACCCUCGUCAGGCCGUCGGAAGGGUACAUCGCACUCUCCAACAUGCCCGUCCAGACCGAGACCCCAGACGCCCCUCGGCCCGGCCUGACGGAGGUGUUGUUCAAGAAGUCGGUGCCCAUGGUGACCUACCUCGCCUGCUUCAUCGUCUGCGACUUCAAAUACGUGGAGGCCCUCACCAAGGACCAGAAGCCCUUCAGAGUGUAUGCCACGCCGGACCAGAUCAACAGGGCCAAUUACUCGCUAGAUUUGGGCGUCAGCGUUUUAAAUUACUUCGAGGAUUAUUUCAAGGUCAAGUACCCGCUUCCGAAACAAGACAUGAUCGCCAUCCCGGAUUUCAUCUCCGGCGCCAUGGAGCACUGGGGCCUCAUCACCUACCGCGAAGUUAACCUGCUGUACGACGCGCGCGGGUCCUCCUCCUACAACCAGCAGCGCGUGGCGGCGGUGGUGGCGCACGAGCUGGCGCACAUGUGGUUUGGGAACUUGGUGACCCUGGAGUGGUGGGAUGACCUCUGGCUGAACGAGGGCUUCGCGAGCUACAUCGAGUACAAGGGCGUGGCUAACUACGAGAAGGAUUGGGACAUGGAGGGCCAGUUCGUGAUAGAUGACCUGCAGCGCGUGAUGGCCCUGGAUGGUCAGCUCACCUCCCAUCCCAUCGUGCAGCCCGUCAACCACCCCGACGAGAUCACCGAGAUAUUCGACACAAUCUCCUACAGCAAGGGCGCCUCUGUUCUAAGGAUGCUGGAGGACUUUCUGGGCCACGAGGUGUUCAGGGAGGGCGUCAGUCGCUUCCUCAGGCGGUACAAGUACCGUAACGCCGUGACCCGGGACCUGUGGCGGGAGCUGGAGGCCGCGGCGCCGCCCGGGGGACCCAACAUCACCCUGGUCAUGGACACCUGGACACGGCAAAUGGGUCUUCCGGUGCUCCAGGUGACCCCAAGCACCGAGGACCAGAACAAGUUGGUCAUCACCCAGACCCGCUUCCUGAGUGAUCCCACCGCUGCGAGCGCCGAUGAUUCCCCGUAUGACUACAAGUGGGAUGUGCCCGUCACCCUGUUCUCCGACGCCUCGCCCAGGGAGCUGCACUGGUUCAUGAGGGGCAUGGACAAGCUGGUGGUGACCCGGCCGCCUGGUUCGUCCUGGGUUAAGUUCAACGUGGGUCAGUUCGGCUACUACAGAGUGAACUAUGACCCGGCGCUGUGGCGUGACCUUAUCGCCCUGCUGACCACCAACCACGAGGCCCUGAGUCCCCCUGACCGCGCCUCGCUGCUGGACGACGCCUUCAACCUGGCCAGCUCGGGGCGGCUUCCCUACCCCACCGUGCUGUCCCUCAUCGCCUACCUGGACAAGGAGACGCACUACAUCCCCUGGGCCACCGCCGCCUCGCACCUCGACAAGAUCGGCCGGCUCCUGCGACGCACCGAGGCCUAUCCUUACUUCAGGAAAUACAUGGUGAGCUUGGUGAAGGGUCACGUCGAGGCGCUGGGGUGGGAGGACACAGGUUCACACUUGGACAGGAGGAAGAGGCUGUGGUUCAUGUUCCUGGCGUGCUCGAAUGGGUACGAGCCGUGUCUGCAAGGGGCGAGGGACAGACUCCUGGCGUGGGUGAAGGACCCUAAUUACUACCUGCCCCCCAAUACUCGCUCCUUAGUCUACAGGUUCGGGAUGCAAAAACCAGGUGUGGAGGUGUGGGAGGCCAUGCUGGACAGGUAUACGGGUGAGACCAAUGCCCAGGAGAAGACCAAGCUGGCGGUGGGUCUGGCCAGCACCACGGAGGACUGGGUGGCGCAGAGGCUGCUCACCCUGGCCACCAAUGACAGCGUAGUGAGGAGCCAGGACUAUUUCUCCAUGCUCAACAAUAUGGCCCGCAGCCCCUGGAACACCUACCUCGUCUGGGACUACGUCAGGUCACACUGGGAGGAGUUGGUUGAGCGCUUCACCCUCAACAACCGCUACCUUGGACGAAUGGUGAAGUUUGUGGUCACCAGGCUGUCCACACCCACCCAGCUGACGGACGUCCAGUCGUUCUUCAAGCAGUACCCGGAGGCUGGCUCAGGGGCCCGGUCGAGGCAGCAGGCCCUGGAGGAGCUGGAGAGCAACAUUCACUGGGUGGGCGAGCACGCUGACCACCUCCUGGCCUGGCUCACCGACUGGACACAUCAACGAGCGCCCUAACUGAAACCAGGAAGCUGUAUCACCCUAGGGAAGGUUUUGUUAGUGUGUUAGGGACUUUGUGACUUUCUAGGGUUUUUUCUAUUACUCUAAGCUACGUAACUCCAGGAAGGUUUUGUUAGUGUGUUAGGGAAUUUGUGACUUUCUAGGGUUUUUUCUAUUACUCUAAGCUACGUAACUCCAGGAAGGUUUUGUUAGUGUGUUAGGGAAUUUGUGACUUUCUAGGGUUUUUUCUAUUACUCUAAACUAUGUAACUCCAGGAAGGUUUUGUUAGUGUGUUAGGGAAAUUCGUGACUUUCUAGGGUUUUUUCUAUUACUCUAAACUAUGUAACUCCAGGAAGGUUUUGUUAGUGUGUUAGGGAAUUUGUGACUUUCUAGGGUUUUUUCUAUUACUCUAAGCUAUGUAACUCCAGGAAGGUUUUGUUUGUGUGUUAGGGAAUUUGUGACUUUCUAGGGUUUUUCUAUUACUCUGAGCUAUGUAACUCCAGGAAGGUUUUGUUAGUGUGUUAGGGAAUUUGUGACUUUCUAGGGUUUUUUCUAUUACUUUAAACUAUGUAACUCCAGGAAGGUUUUGUUAGUGUGUUAGGGAAUUUGUGACUUUCUAGGGUUUUUUCUAUUACUCUAAGCUAUGUAACUCCAGGAAGGUUUUGUUAGUGUGUUAGGGAAAUUCAUGACAGUCUAGGGUCUUUUCUAUUACUCUAAGCUAUGUAACUCCAGGAAGGUUUUGUUAGUGUGUUAGGGAAUUUGUGACUUUCUAGGGUCUUUUCUAUCACUAAGCUAUGUAACUCCAGGAAGGUUUUGUUAGUGUGUUAGGGCAGUUCAGGACUAUAGUAGGGCAGUUUCUAGCACCUUAAGUUAUAUAAUAUACAGGACAUAACAACACACACACACACACACACACACACACACACACACACUUAGUAAAAAACUGAGGAAGGGAAGAUACUUGAGAGACAUAAAGAAAUAUAGCUUUCCACAAAGAAAUAUAGAGGUUCGGAACAGACUAAGUGAGGAUGUAGUAUCAGCGAGGAGUGUGCAAAGCUUUAAGGAAAAGUUUGAUAAGUGCAGAUACGGAGACGGGACCACACGAUCGUAAACCCAGGCCCUUUAAAACUACAACUAGGUAAAUACACACACACACACACACUCACACACAGGAGCUAACAAAAGGCAUGUAUAUAUAAAUUCAGUGUAUGUAGAUUCUCAGACAAUAAGAAUAAAUGUAUCUGUAUAGUUGAGUCCAUUCCUUUGAGAUGGAGAAGACUUAGUAAGGAAAGAUAGCACAUGUGUUAGCUAUAUAUAUAGUUGUGUGUGUUGCAUAGUGCCAUUAGGGUAGAGUAUAUUUUAUGGGGAGUGAAUGGCGGUAGUUGUGUGAGGUUUACCUGUUGUGUUAAAGUUGUUUUAGAUCAGUAUUUUAUGAUGCUUGUACUUAAUAUAUAUUCACUACAUGCUCCUGCAAACACACACACAAAUUAAAAGUCGGUUCGCUCAGCUCACACCCGAGAGUUUUCAGGUUCAAUUCCCGGACGAAGUGCAGACAGAUGGGGCGUCUCCUUACACCCAUACCCUGUCCACCCAGCAGUGAAUGGGCGCUGGGUGACAGUCUGUGGAAGUGUUACCAGAGUAUUGCACUCUUCACGUUGUAUUUCCCAGUUUCUGACCCUUAACUAUUGCCAAAAACAUCAGUAGGUAACGGUUUUAACAACAACUUGAAUUGAACAUCGUCAUUUGUGGGGGGUAUGGUGGCAGAAGGAAGAGAGGAAGACCCGGGACGAGAUGGAAGGCCUGUAUUGUGGCGGAUAGCAGGGAGAAGAACUUGGACCUUGAAGUGGCGGAUGACAGGGUUAGAUGGAGGAGACUCAUCAAGAACAGCGACCCCGUAUAGAAACUGGGUAAUAAUGCUGCGGAAGAAGAGGAAUUUUGGGGGUAUGACAGUUUUGGGUCUGAAGCUGAUAAAUAUAAUGAGUAACGUUGGUCUGUGGGUGUGACUCAUGAGCUCGACACACUCAUGUAAGAUACGAGUAGGUGAACACAUGCAUUUUAUCCACAGUACGAAGAACCCUUUUAUAUACCUGUCUAAAGUAGCAUAAAGCAUAGCAGUUUGUAGGUAUAUUUGUAUGUUAUGGUAAUGUUAAGGUGUGGGUGUACAGGUGUUUUGAUGGGCAGGUCUAGUUAUAUUUAUCCUCGGUUUAUUUCUUCUCCUUUUCUCUUCUUUUCUUUUAGCAUCCUUACUCUCUGAAGGUCUGGUUAUCUCUAUUCUCAGUUUAUCCACAUUGCCACACACAUUCCUGCGUUGUCAUCUCCCUGCAUUGUGACGAGGAGAAGGUUCUUGUGUUGUGAGCUCAUUGUGAAAAGGAGGUUGUUUUAACAUAUUCCUGUGUGUGUUUGCACUUGUCUUGCUAAAAUCUUGCGUCUUUCUAAAAUCUUGUGUCUUCCCAAAUUCCCGUCUUCCCAAAUUUCUGUCUUCCUAAAUUCUUGGGGCUUUGUGGUGCAGUGGUUAGCACACUCGGCUCACAACAGAGAGAGCCCGGGUUCGAUUCCCGGGCGGAGUGGGAAAAAUUGGGCGGCUUUUCCGAUACCCUAUGCCCCUGUCCACCCAGCAGUGAAUGGGUACCACGUAUUAAUCGGGGGUUGUGUCCCGUCUCCUGGGGUCUGUUCCCUUCUCCUAUAAUUCCUUCCCCCUCUUGUCUCUCUCCGGCAUAUGACCACAGAUAUUGCGCCGACUAAACGAAACUUUCCAACUUUCCUAAAUUCUUGUCUUCCUAAAUUCCUCUAAAAAUUGUGUACAUGUUUUUUGCUUUCCUCUAUAAGUCAUAGUACAGCCCGUUGACCUCCAGUACGCCCACACCUUGGUUAGGACUUGUAUAGAACUCGUGUGUAGGUGUAUUUAGUAUGUGUAGCCUGCUUAUAUAUAUAGUAUGUAUGGACGUGUAGCCUACCAUUUUGUAUGACCCUCUGACACUUCAAUAAAUAUUCCAGUAAGAGAAA
Long non-coding RNA from Eriocheir sinensis (Chinese mitten crab), 6218 nucleotides. RefSeq lists it as uncharacterized. Lineage: Eukaryota; Metazoa; Arthropoda; Malacostraca; Decapoda; Varunidae. The record is from RefSeq and is a predicted model, not a curated record. The transcript is spliced from 20 exons.